RNAcentral lists this transfer RNA (75 nucleotides) under archaeon BMS3Abin16. Its description in RNAcentral is "tRNA-Ala". It matches the Rfam family "tRNA". Rfam says of the family: Transfer RNA (tRNA) molecules are approximately 80 nucleotides in length. Their secondary structure includes four short double-helical elements and three loops (D, anti-codon, and T loops). Further hydrogen bonds mediate the characteristic L-shaped molecular structure. tRNAs have two regions of fundamental functional importance: the anti-codon, which is responsible for specific mRNA codon recognition, and the 3' end, to which the tRNAs corresponding amino acid is attached (by aminoacyl-tRNA synthetases). tRNAs cope with the degeneracy of the genetic code in two manners: having more than one tRNA (with a specific anti-codon) for a particular amino acid; and 'wobble' base-pairing, i.e. permitting non-standard base-pairing at the 3rd anti-codon position. The record is from RNAcentral.
GGGCUCGUAGCUCAGACUGGAAGAGUACUCCCUUGGCAUGGGAGAAGCCCCGGGUUCAAAUCCCGGCGAGUCCAC